GGUUGGGCAAGACAGCGUCGGCUGUUAACUGUCCCAGGGGCCUGGCUCCGGCCGCUGUCACCUCGCCAGGGUCGAGAGCGUGGGGCUGCGCCGGGGAGCGGCUGCCAGCUCUGGGACCCCUGGACGUGGACAGAGAAUGCACCGGAAGGGCCGGAAGCUGGGCUCCAGCCGCCGGCGGCAGAUGAGAGAGCCGGCCGACGGCCAGGAUGCCCUGGGCAACCCAGGGCCCGAGUCCUGGUCCUCAGAGGCCGAAGCAGAGCUGCAGACCUUCUUCCAGGACUGUGGUGCCAAGGACAGAGGCUUUGUCACCCGCGAGGACCUGGCGGAGGCCAAGUUCCGCUUCCUGGGCAGCGAGGAGGAGCCACAGAUGAUCUUUGACUGGCUG
Molecule: long non-coding RNA, 385 nt
Filed under: Fukomys damarensis (Damara mole-rat)
Lineage: Eukaryota; Metazoa; Chordata; Mammalia; Rodentia; Bathyergidae
Description: lncRNA (ENSFDAG00000024376.1)
Source: RNAcentral